UGGGGAAUAUUGCACAAUGGGCGCAAGCCUGAUGCAGCCAUGCCGCGUGUAUGAAGAAGGCCUUCGGGUUGUAAAGUACUUUCAGCGGGGAGGAAGGGGGUAAAGUUAAUACCUUUGCCCAUUGACGUUACCCGCAGAAGAAGCACCGGCUAACUCCGUGCCAGCAGCCGCGGUAAUACGGAGGGUGCAAGCGUUAAUCGGAAUUACUGGGCGUAAAGCGCACGCAGGCGGUUUGUUAAGUCAGAUGUGAAAUCCCCGGGCUCAACCUGGGAACUGCAUCUGAUACUGGCAAGCUUGAGUCUCGUAGAGGGGGGUAGAAUUCCAGGUGUAGCGGUGAAAUGCGUAGAGAUCUGGAGGAAUACCGGUGGCGAAGGCGGCCCCCUGGACGAAGACUGACGCUCAGGUGCGAAAGCGUGGGGGGCAAACAGG
RNAcentral lists this ribosomal RNA (429 nucleotides) under Chloroflexota bacterium. RNAcentral's name for it is "Chloroflexi bacterium partial 16S ribosomal RNA". It matches the Rfam family "Bacterial small subunit ribosomal RNA", at positions 355 to 776 of the family's 1533-position model. Lineage: Bacteria; Bacillati; Chloroflexota. The record is from RNAcentral.